RNAcentral lists this non-coding RNA (725 nucleotides) under Myotis brandtii (Brandt's bat). RNAcentral describes it as "Eukaryotic small subunit ribosomal RNA". It matches the Rfam family "Eukaryotic small subunit ribosomal RNA", at positions 1159 to 1831 of the family's 1831-position model. The record is from Rfam by way of RNAcentral. Lineage: Eukaryota; Metazoa; Chordata; Mammalia; Chiroptera; Vespertilionidae.
GAAGGGCACCACCAGGAGUGGAGCCUGCGGCUUAAUUCGACUCAACACGGGAAAACUCACCCGGCCCGGACACUGUGAGGAUUGACAGAUUGAUAGCUCUUUCUUGAUUCGGUGGUUGGUGGUGCAUGGCCGUUCUUAGUUGGUGGAGCGAUUUGUCUGGUUAAUUCUGAUAACGAACGAGACUUUGGCCUGCUAAAUAGUAUACCUGUCCUCUGUGCUCGUGCAGGUGGCAGUUUUCACUGCCCGUUCUACGGGUGGCUGAAGCUGUUUGCCGGCGGGUACUGCGCAGGUGUUUACUUCUUAGAGGGACAAGCGACGCUAGUCGCACGAAAAUGAGCAAUAACAGGUCUGUGAUGCCCUUAGAUGUCCGGGGCCGCACGUGCGCUACAAUGACGGUUUCAGCGAGUUUUGAAACCUGGCCCGAAAGGGUUGGGCAAACUGAGUCAUAACCGUCGUGACUGGGAUCGGGGCUUGCAAUUAUUCCCCGUGAACGAGGAAUUCCUGGUAAGUGCAAGUCAUAAGCUUGCGCUGAUUACGUCCCUGCCCUUUGUACACACCGCCCGUCGCUACUACCGAUUGAAUGGUUUAGCAAGGUCGUCGGAUCGGUGCCAUUGUAGUUGUUUCGGCAACUCGAACGGCGCUGAGAAGACGACCAAACUUGAUCAUUUAGAGGAAGUAAAAGUCGUAACAAGGUUUCCGUAGGUGAACCUGCGGAAGGAUCAUUA